CAUGGUUGUCGUCAGCUCGUGUCGUGAGAUGUUGGUUAAGUCCCGCAACGAGCGCAACCCCUAUUGUUAGUUGCCAUCAUUCAGUUGGGCACUCUAGCGAGACUGCCGGUAAUAAACCGGAGGAAGGUGGGGAUGACGUCAAUCAUCAUGCCCCUUAUGACCUGGGCUACACACGUGCUACAAUGGUUGGUACAACGAGUUGCGAGUCGGUGACGGCGAGCUAAUCUCUUAAAGCCAAUCUCAGUUCGGAUUGUAGGCUGCAACUCGCCUACAUGAAGUCGGAAUCGCUAGUAAUCGCGGAUCAGCACGCCGCGGUGAAUACGUUCCCGGGCCUU
RNAcentral lists this ribosomal RNA (335 nucleotides) under uncultured Streptococcus sp. RNAcentral describes it as "bacterial SSU rRNA". It matches the Rfam family "Bacterial small subunit ribosomal RNA", at positions 1044 to 1382 of the family's 1533-position model. Lineage: Bacteria; Bacillati; Bacillota; Bacilli; Lactobacillales; Streptococcaceae. The record is from RNAcentral.